GACGAACGCUGGCGGCGUGCCUAAUACAUGCAAGUCGAGCGGACCGGCUUGGGGCUUGCCUUGAUUCGGUCAGCGGCGGACGGGUGAGUAACACGUGGGCAACCUGCCCGCAAGACCGGGAUAACUCCGGGAAACCGGAGCUAAUACCGGAUAACACCGAAGACCGCAUGGUCUUCGGUUGAAAGGCGGCCUUUGGGCUGUCACUUGCGGAUGGGCCCGCGGCGCAUUAGGUAGUUGGUGAGGUAACGGCUCACCAAGGCGACGAUGCGUAGCCGGCCUGAGAGGGUGACCGGCCACACUGGGACUGAGACACGGCCCAGACUCCUACGGGAGGCAGCAGUAGGGAAUCUUCCGCAAUGGGCGAAAGCCUGACGGAGCGACGCCGCGUGAGCGAAGAAGGCCUUCGGGUCGUAAAGCUCUGUUGUGAGGGACGAAGGAGCGCCGUUCGAAGAGGGCGGCGCGGUGACGGUACCUCACGAGAAAGCCCCGGCUAACUACGUG
RNAcentral lists this ribosomal RNA (501 nucleotides) under uncultured bacterium. RNAcentral's name for it is "partial 16S ribosomal RNA". It matches the Rfam family "Bacterial small subunit ribosomal RNA", at positions 28 to 507 of the family's 1533-position model. The record is from RNAcentral.